RNAcentral lists this non-coding RNA (29 nucleotides) under Rattus norvegicus (Norway rat). The record is from RNAcentral. Lineage: Eukaryota; Metazoa; Chordata; Mammalia; Rodentia; Muridae.
UCCAUGAGUUUUGAUUCAGGAGUCUGUCA